AUUGAACGCUGGCGGCAGGCCUAACACAUGCAAGUCGAACGAGUGGCGGACGGGUGAGUAAUGUCUGGGAAACUGCCCGAUGGGGGGGGAUCACUACUGGAAACGGUAGCUAAUACCGCAUACCAUCAGAUGUGCCCAGAUGGGAUUAGCUAGUUGGUGGGGUAACGGCUCACCUAGGCGACGAUCCCUAGCUGGUCUGAGAGGAUGACCAGCCACCCUGGAGCUGGGACACGGUCCAGAAUCCUACGAGAGGCAGCAGUGGGGAAUAUUGGACAAUGGGCGCAAGCCUGAUGCAGCCAUGCCGCGUGUGUGAAGAAGGCCUUCGGGUUGUAAAGUACUUUCAGCGGGGAGUCGUUACCCGCAGAAGAAGCACCGGCUAACUCCGUGCCAGCAGCCGCGGUAAUUC
RNAcentral lists this ribosomal RNA (406 nucleotides) under uncultured bacterium. RNAcentral's name for it is "partial 16S ribosomal RNA". It matches the Rfam family "Bacterial small subunit ribosomal RNA", at positions 30 to 526 of the family's 1533-position model. The record is from RNAcentral.